GACGAACGCUGGCGGCGUGCUUAACACAUGCAAGUCGAACGGAAAGGCCCUGCUUUUGUGGGGUGCUCGAGUGGCGAACGGGUGAGUAACACGUGAGUAACCUGCCCUUGACUUUGGGAUAACUUCAGGAAACUGGGGCUAAUAUCGGAUAGGAGCUCCUGCUGCAUGGUGGGGGUUGGAAAGUUUCGGCGGUUGGGGCUGGACUCGCGGCUUAUCAGCUUGUUGGUGGGGUAGGGGCUUACCAAGGCUUUGACGGAUAGCCGGCCUGAGAGGGUGACCGGCCACAUUGGGACUGAGAUACGGCCCAGACUGCUACGGGAGGCAGCAGUGGGGAAUAUUGCACAAUGGGCGGAAGCCUGAGGCAGCAACGCCGCGUGCGGGAUGACGGCCUUCGGGUUGUAAACCGCUUUCGCCUGUGACGAAGCGUGAGUGACGGUAAUGGGUAAAGAAGCACCGGCUAACUACGUG
RNAcentral lists this ribosomal RNA (468 nucleotides) under uncultured bacterium. Its description in RNAcentral is "partial 16S ribosomal RNA". It matches the Rfam family "Bacterial small subunit ribosomal RNA", at positions 28 to 507 of the family's 1533-position model. The record is from RNAcentral.